AUUUAAACCCAUUCAUAGUGACAAAUUAGAGGUACUCCCAGCCAAGUUUCGAUCCUUAGCUUCUAAUAGUCGUCUAGCUUGCCAAUGAGUUGACUUAACUCCGUAUCCUUUUCCAACAUAUCAGAACAUCGAAAUGUUAAUUAUACCUAGCUUUUGAAAAAUGUCAGUUUUUGCACAAUUAAUCGAAUCUUAGCAAUCCAACUAGUUAACCUUCAAAUUCCCCAAUCCAAGCCAAAAAAGGAAAAAUACCAAAUAUGGAGAAAAUCAUAUUUCGAAGUUAUUAACCGAUUAAAGCAAAAAAUAAUUAGUAAAAAAGUUAAAUCUUACCUCCAAGAUGGUUUCCUAAGCUCCAAAUGACCUCAAAAGGCUCAGAAACUCAAUUUGGGGGGUUAGGGUUCUAGGUUUUUAGAGAGAGAAAGGGAAGGAAAGAGUUAAGAGAAAGAGAUGGGGUGAAAUGGCUUGAACCCCUUUUUAUUUUUGCCUUUUUUCUGUGAUGUAUAGAUGCAUUUGGCAAUGUAUCAAUACAUUUGCCCUAAUUUCGAUUGAAUGUAUCGAUACAUCGAGGAAAUAUAUCGAUACAUUUUGGGCAGAAUGGUCCUGGGUGCUCUCUGCUUUAAAUGUAUCGAUACAUUGAGGCAAUGUAUUGAUACAUGUUUAUCCUAUGCCAAAU
RNAcentral lists this long non-coding RNA (670 nucleotides) under Theobroma cacao (cacao). Its description in RNAcentral is "long non-coding RNA (TCAC_LNC001307)". Lineage: Eukaryota; Viridiplantae; Streptophyta; Magnoliopsida; Malvales; Malvaceae. The record is from RNAcentral.